UGAAGGAGAAAGUUGUAACAAGGUUUCCGUAGGUGAACCUGCGGAAGGAUCAUUG
Molecule: ribosomal RNA, 55 nt
Filed under: Alpinia calcarata
Lineage: Eukaryota; Viridiplantae; Streptophyta; Magnoliopsida; Zingiberales; Zingiberaceae
Description: partial 18S ribosomal RNA
Rfam family: Eukaryotic small subunit ribosomal RNA
Source: RNAcentral